CAUACUAAGGUCAGGUUUAUAUGGACCUAUCAUGCUGGUUCAGCGAAGUCCCAUCGCUUUAAUGCCCCACUAGAUCACAAACCACCGGUGAUCUGGUCCUUCACUCUAAUCACCACUAGCUUAAUCAUUAGCAUAGCUUGUUAGAAGAUCAAAGAAAACCAAAAGGGAAUGCUUCGGUGAACCAAACCUUAAUCAUUUUUCCCUAAAGGAUCCUUAAAUACUGUCGUGGUUUUUUUUUUUUUUGUUUAAUGCGAACGCUUUAUAGAGAAAAAAUGACAAGGCCGGUGUGGUAGCCCAAAUACGUAGCGAAUAACCAUCUGUCCACUUUUAUCUGUAAUGCUCCGCCUUUGGAAAGAAAGCAACCGGCUCCUGCACUGCAGAAUCCUCUACUCGUUCAAAAAAAGAGAACAGGCAUAAACAACUGCAAACACUGGCAUAGAGUUAGCAGACAGGGCAGUUGGGUUUUUGUUAUCUUUAAUCUGCAUAUUGAUCUCCACUUAAUAUACUUUCUGGGCUAUCCGUGGGCAUUUUUUAAGCUUCCUUCCCUCCACCACCUCGGUCUUUUCCUCGGGCGUUUGUGUGCGUGUGUGCCUGUAUAUUUAGGCAGCUUACAUAACGUUGAGACUGAUUCCGUUUUUCCAAUAUGAUCGAAGACAGGCUCUGUCCACACUCUUUUUAAUUACAUUUGUCUUCUUCUAAAAACAUAUCACAUGUUUUUGUUGGUUUUGACUUUUCUGCUCUAAUAUCAAAAGAAAAUUCAAACCUA
Molecule: long non-coding RNA, 766 nt
Organism: Populus nigra (black poplar)
Lineage: Eukaryota; Viridiplantae; Streptophyta; Magnoliopsida; Malpighiales; Salicaceae
Exons: 2
Source: RefSeq, a predicted model, not a curated record